ACUCCUACGGGAGGCAGCAGUAGGGAAUCUUCCACAAUGGGCGCAAGCCUGAUGGAGCAACACCGCGUGAGCGAAGAAGGGUUUCGGCUCGUAAAGCUCUGUUGUUAAAGAAGAACACGUAUGAGAGUAACUGUUCAUACGUUGACGGUAUUUAACCAGAAAGUCACGGCUAACUACGUGCCAGCAGCCGCGGUAAUACGUAGGUGGCAAGCGUUAUCCGGAUUUAUUGGGCGUAAAGAGAGUGCAGGCGGUUUUCUAAGUCUGAUGUGAAAGCCUUCGGCUUAACCGGAGAAGUGCAUCGGAAACUGGAUAACUUGAGUGCAGAAGAGGGUAGUGGAACUCCAUGUGUAGCGGUGGAAUGCGUAGAUAUAUGGAAGAACACCAGUGGCGAAGGCGGCUACCUGGUCUGCAACUGACGCUGAGACUCGAAAGCAUGGGUAGCGAACAGGAUUAGAUACCCUGGUAGGAUAGCG
Molecule: ribosomal RNA, 473 nt
Filed under: uncultured bacterium
Lineage: Bacteria
Description: bacterial SSU rRNA
Rfam family: Bacterial small subunit ribosomal RNA
Source: RNAcentral